AAGAUUAGUUUAUUUGUGCAUUUAACAAACAAUUAUUGAGUGCCUGCUGUGUAAGGCACUUUGAUAGGGUCUGAAAAUGAUGCAGAGAACAAACCAAAUAAAGCUUUCAUGCAGUUUAUAUUCUAGACAAAAGAGGCAGUUAGUAAACAAAGAAACAACAAUAAUAUCAAAUACCCAUUAUUGCUUUGAAAAUAAAUAAAGCAGGGUUAGGGGAUAGAGUGUGCUGGAGAAUAGGCUCUCAUAUGUUAGGUAAGAUAAUCAGGAAAGAUUUCUUUAAUAAAUUGACAUGGAGCAGAGAAAGGAAUCAAAUGAAGAAGCAAGCCAUGUUGAUGACUGAGGAAGAACAUUCCAGGCAGAGAGAACAAGCAUAACCGGAUUUUGAAAUCUAGAAGUCUGGAGAGAAAGUAGGGCUAGAAGUCCCAGGCUCCCACAGAGAGCAAGAAUAGAUGAAGAAGACAAAAAAAGAAAAAAAAAAACCUGAAGAAUAGGUCCUGGGAGUUCCAGUAUUUAGAGGUUGAGAAAAGUAAUUAAGUUCCUCAAAGAGAUGAAAAAGAAAUGGCCAAUGAGCUGGUUAAAGUUAAAAAAAAAAAAAAAAAAAAAAAGCUUCUAGGAAACAAAAUGAAGAAAGUGUUUCAAACGUAAAAUGAUCAUUACAAAGUGUGCUUAAGAAAGCAAGUCAGCUACCAUGCAGACUGGAUUUUGCAACAUGGAAUUAAUUUUUGAGUUGACAAGAAAAGUUUGAGUAAAUGAUAAGAAUGAAAGCUUAAUUGGGGGAUUUUAAAAGAAAAAGAGAAGAGAGAAAUCAGGCUUUUGCUCUAAGAGUGUAAAGAUAUAAAAAUAGUCUGGGUGGAGUAAGUCAAGGGAAUUUUUACCAGGAUCAAAAUAUUUUAACAUUCUACAGAGGGAAGAAUAAUUGAGUAGAGAAGGAAAAAUGGAUGUUUCAAAAGACAAGAAACAGCUCAACGUGACCAACAUCCUAG
This 980-nucleotide long non-coding RNA is filed under the name Homo sapiens (human). Its description in RNAcentral is "HSALNT0191411". The record is from RNAcentral. Lineage: Eukaryota; Metazoa; Chordata; Mammalia; Primates; Hominidae.